UAUAAAUCACAGAAGCAGUGGUGGCUUAUGCUUUCUUUCUGCAUGAACUCCUUCCAUUCUUUCUGCUCUUUAAAGAAGCUGUAGUCCAUGUCCUCCUGCAGAAUUCCUUUUGGAAAAGUCAAGUCACAUUAGCUGGCAUUUCUAAACGGACUGUGAAGGCAGCAGGAGAGCAUGGCGGCUGGCUGCGAGAUACAGCUUAGGGCACCCAAGUGACUGCCCUUUUACUUGGAGGGCUUGGCUUUCGGUGAGCGCCACCAGUGCAGAUAAAAGUCAAGUUCUCGAAGCUUAAUGAGACAUCGGAAGGACACGGGAGAAGCCAACUGAACAUUUUAUAAAUUAUCUGCUCAGACAAAAGUGUCCCACACUGCAUUUGCAUGUGCCGACGUGUGAGACCAAGGAAGAGAUCCACAGCACAAACAAGAAGAAAUCGGAAGAUCUCACUUGGAGGCGAGGGUGUAGCGGUGAUGCAGUGGGAUACGACAAGAUGGCGCAGGUUGUGAGGACGAUGACAUUCUUUUGCAGCAUUACUGAGGAAGUUUGAUACCCCCUGAACAUGAGACGGUAGUUGUUUUCUCAUUCCCAAGCCCUGAAAUUUGAAACAUUUAAGCUCAAGUGACAAAUGGCA
Molecule: long non-coding RNA, 625 nt
Organism: Polypterus senegalus (gray bichir)
Lineage: Eukaryota; Metazoa; Chordata; Cladistia; Polypteriformes; Polypteridae
Exons: 4
Source: RefSeq, a predicted model, not a curated record